Molecule: regulatory RNA element, 67 nt
Organism: Dysgonomonas gadei ATCC BAA-286
Lineage: Bacteria; Pseudomonadati; Bacteroidota; Bacteroidia; Bacteroidales; Dysgonomonadaceae
Rfam family: DUF805 RNA
Source: Rfam
AUUAUAUGGAGUUCAGAGACCAUACACAAACGAGGCGGACCCGAAAAGCCAUAUGAGUAGGAACUUA